This 253-nucleotide ribosomal RNA is filed under the name uncultured bacterium. RNAcentral describes it as "partial 16S ribosomal RNA". It matches the Rfam family "Bacterial small subunit ribosomal RNA", at positions 524 to 776 of the family's 1533-position model. The record is from RNAcentral.
UACGUAGGGGGCAAGCGUUGUCCGGAAUCAUUGGGCGUAAAGAGCGUGUAGGCGGUUCGGUAAGUCGGCUGUGAAAGUCCAGGGCUCAACCCUGGGAUGCCGGUCGAUACUGCCGGACUAGAGUUCGGAAGAGGCGAGUGGAAUUCCCGGUGUAGCGGUGAAAUGCGCAGAUAUCGGGAGGAACACCAAUUGCGAAGGCAGCUCGCUGGGACGUUACUGACGCUGAGACGCGAAAGCGUGGGGAGCAAACAGG